AAAUGAAUCGCGUUUUUGAGGGCCUAAACAUGCUCGAAAAGUCCUGAAACUUUGCACACGCGUCAGACCUGGUGAAAAUUUACGUCUGAUAUAGGUUUCAGAAGAGGGUGUGGCAAAAUGGCUCGACAGCGCCACCUAUCGUAAAAAAAUCAACAGCCCUCGAGCUGUGUUUCACGUACAUGCACGAAAAUUGGCACACAUAUGUAAAGCAUCAGUACCUACAAAAAAGACUCUUGGAGCAAUAUCCGAAACCCAACAGGAAGUCGGUUAUUUUUAAUUUUAUGAGCAAAUUUUGCAUCAUUUUUGUCAUUUGCAUGCCUUGUAUUUUA
Molecule: long non-coding RNA, 329 nt
Organism: Cyprinus carpio carpio
Lineage: Eukaryota; Metazoa; Chordata; Actinopteri; Cypriniformes; Cyprinidae
Source: Ensembl